GGCUAAUCUGCCCUUAGGACGAGACCAACCCCNGGGAAACUGGGGCUAACUCUUGAUAGGCGAAGAACUCUGGAAUGAGUCUUUACCUAAAUAGAUUCACGUUAUCCUCGUGAACCUGCCUAAGGAUGAGGCCGCGACCGAUCAGGUUGUUGGCGAGGUAAUGGCUCACCAAGCCUUUUACCGGUGCGGGCCGUGGGAGCGGGAGCCCGGAGAUGGGUACUGAGACAAGGACCCAGGCCCUACGGGGCGCAGCAGUCGCGAAACCUUUGCAAUAAGCGAAAGCUUGACAGGGCUAUCCCGAGUGCCAUCCGCUGAGGAAGGCUUUUACCCAGUCUAGAACGCUGGGGGAAUAAGGAGAGGGCAAGUCUGGUGUCAGCCGCCGCGGUAAUACCAGCUCUCCGAGUGGUGUGGAUGUUUAUUGGGCCUAAAGCAUCCGUAGCUGGCUAGGUAAGUCCCUUGUUAAAUCCACCGAAUUAAUCGUUGGAUCGCGGGGGAUACUGCUUGGCUAGGGGACGAGAGAGGCAGACGGUAUUUUCGGGGUAGGGGUGAAAUCCUAUAAUCCCGGGAAGACCACCAGUGGCGAAGGCUGUCUGCUAGAACGCGCCCGACGGUGAGGGAUGAAAGCUGGGGGAGCGAACCGGAUUAGAUACCCGGGUAGUCCCAGCUGUAAACGAUGCAGACUAGGUGUUUGGACGGCCACGUGCCGUUCUAGUGCCGCAGGGAAGCUGUUAAGUCUGCCGCCUGGGGAGUACGAUCGCAAGAUUGAAACUUAA
RNAcentral lists this ribosomal RNA (773 nucleotides) under uncultured archaeon. Its description in RNAcentral is "bacterial SSU rRNA". It matches the Rfam family "Archaeal small subunit ribosomal RNA", at positions 102 to 859 of the family's 1478-position model. The record is from RNAcentral.